Molecule: ribosomal RNA, 1436 nt
Filed under: uncultured organism
Description: SSU rRNA
Rfam family: Bacterial small subunit ribosomal RNA
Source: RNAcentral
AGGCUUAACACAUGCAAGUCGAGGGGCAGCAUGGUCUUAGCUUGCUAAGGCCGAUGGCGACCGGCGCACGGGUGAGUAACACGUAUCCAACCUGCCGUCUACUCUUGGACAGCCUUCUGAAAGGAAGAUUAAUACAAGAUGGCAUCAUGAGUCCGCAUGUUCACAUGAUUAAAGGUAUUCCGGUAGACGAUGGGGAUGCGUUCCAUUAGAUAGUAGGCGGGGUAACGGCCCACCUAGUCUUCGAUGGAUAGGGGUUCUGAGAGGAAGGUCCCCCACAUUGGAACUGAGACACGGUCCAAACUCCUACGGGAGGCAGCAGUGAGGAAUAUUGGUCAAUGGGCGAGAGCCUGAACCAGCCAAGUAGCGUGAAGGAUGACUGCCCUAUGGGUUGUAAACUUCUUUUAUAAAGGAAUAAAGUCGGGUAUGGAUACCCGUUUGCAUGUACUUUAUGAAUAAGGAUCGGCUAACUCCGUGCCAGCAGCCGCGGUAAUACGGAGGAUCCGAGCGUUAUCCGGAUUUAUUGGGUUUAAAGGGAGCGUAGAUGGAUGUUUAAGUCAGUUGUGAAAGUUUGCGGCUCAACCGUAAAAUUGCAGUUGAUACUGGAUAUCUUGAGUGCAGUUGAGGCAGGCGGAAUUCGUGGUGUAGCGGUGAAAUGCUUAGAUAUCACGAAGAACUCCGAUUGCGAAGGCAGCCUGCUAAGCUGCAACUGACAUUGAGGCUCGAAAGUGUGGGUAUCAAACAGGAUUAGAUACCCUGGUAGUCCACACGGUAAACGAUGAAUACUCGCUGUUUGCGAUAUACUGCAAGCGGCCAAGCGAAAGCGUUAAGUAUUCCACCUGGGGAGUACGCCGGCAACGGUGAAACUCAAAGGAAUUGACGGGGGCCCGCACAAGCGGAGGAACAUGUGGUUUAAUUCGAUGAUACGCGAGGAACCUUACCCGGGCUUAAAUUGCAGAUGAAUUACGGUGAAAGCCGUAAGCCGCAAGGCAUCUGUGAAGGUGCUGCAUGGUUGUCGUCAGCUCGUGCCGUGAGGUGUCGGCUUAAGUGCCAUAACGAGCGCAACCCUUGUUGUCAGUUACUAACAGGUUCCGCUGAGGACUCUGACAAGACUGCCAUCGUAAGAUGUGAGGAAGGUGGGGAUGACGUCAAAUCAGCACGGCCCUUACGUCCGGGGCUACACACGUGUUACAAUGGGGGGUACAGAGGGCCGCUACCACGCGAGUGGAUGCCAAUCCCCAAAACCUCUCUCAGUUCGGACUGGAGUCUGCAACCCGACUCCACGAAGCUGGAUUCGCUAGUAAUCGCGCAUCAGCCACGGCGCGGUGAAUACGUUCCCGGGCCUUGUACACACCGCCCGUCAAGCCAUGGGAGCCGGGGGUACCUGAAGUACGUAACCGCAAGGAUCGUCCUAGGGUAAAACUGGUGACUGGGGCUAA